AACAGGCAGGUUGGUCUCGACAUGCACCUCGGCUAUCUCGUCCUCACGGCUUUCCUGGGGCAACUGCUGGGCAUCAUGGGGCAGACCACCGUCACCCAGAAAGAAGGACAAGUCACAGUGAAGCAGAGACACACCUUCCAGACAAACUGCACAUACCAGACCUCGUACUUUCAGGGCUUGCUCUGGUACCAGCAGAGGAAAGGCCAAGCUCCCCAGCUGGUCUCGUAUCAGGCAGCAGCUGGCUCCAAGCGGAACGGCCGUAUCACCACGUUCCUGAACACCACCGGGAAAUACAGCCUCCUGCAGCUGGAGGAAGUCGAGGUCUCUGACAGUGCCUUGUACCUCUGUGCUGUGCAAGACACCCUGGUGCAGGGAGCUUCCUUGGCU
This is a non-coding RNA of Pygoscelis adeliae (Adelie penguin), 387 nucleotides long. NCBI's taxonomy places the organism in Eukaryota, Metazoa, Chordata, Aves, Sphenisciformes, Spheniscidae. The record is from the annotation of a RefSeq genome assembly.